This 1820-nucleotide ribosomal RNA is filed under the name Collettea aff. wilsoni ITan017. RNAcentral's name for it is "SSU rRNA". It matches the Rfam family "Eukaryotic small subunit ribosomal RNA". Lineage: Eukaryota; Metazoa; Arthropoda; Malacostraca; Tanaidacea; Colletteidae. The record is from RNAcentral.
UCUUAAAGAUUAAGCCAUGCAUGUGUCAGUGCAAGCCUUUCCUUACGGUGAAACCGCGAAUGGCUCAUUAAAUCAGUCUUUAUCCGUUGGACUUAACGGGAACGUGUCCUUAAUCGGAUAACUGUGGUAAUUCUAGAGCUAAUACAUGCCUCGAGUUCCAAAAGUGUUUUUUUGAACACGAGUAGGACGCAAUUAUUAGAUCCAAAAAUUUUAUGUAAAUUGGGCUUGGUGUAAAUUUUGGUGAAUCUGGAUAAUUACUGCAGAGCGCUUCAAUUGUGCCGGCGCUUGACCUAUGAAGAGUCUGCCCUAUCAGCUUGAUUGUAGAUUAAAUGUCUACAAUGGCUACAACGGGUAACGGGGAAUCAGGGUUCGAUUCCGGAGAGGGAGCAUGAGAAAUGGCUACCACAUCUAAGGAAGGCAGCAGGCACGAAAAUUGCUCAAUCUUAGCUCGAGGAAGCAGUGACAAAAUAUCUUGAUGCGGGACUCUUCCGAGGCCUCGCAAUCAGGAUGCGUUUACUAUAAAUAAGUUGACUGAACGCAAAUGGAGGGCAAGUCUGGUGCCAGCAGCCGCGGUAAUUCCAGCUCCAUUAGCAUAUGUUUUAAUUGCUGAGGUUAAAAAGCUCGUAGUUGGACUUAUUACUCAGGGCAGGAGACGUGUCGGAGUUGACAUAACCUCUGUUGCUGAGUUUUUAUGAGACCGUCGAUACUUUUUCAUUUAUUGUCUUUGCUGCCCUUAAUUGGUGUCAAAAGUAGCAUUAAAAAAGUUUCGACAAGAUCACUUUGGAGAAAUUAGAGUGUUCAAAGCACUCAUUGCAUAAUUGCCUACAUGGUAGUACAUGGAAUGAUGAAAGAUGAUCUCUGCCUUGUUUAAUAAAUAAAUUCCUUAUGGCACCAAGCUAAAAUUCAAGGUAUGAGAUAAUGAUUAAAGGGAACUGCCGGGGGCGUUUGUAUUACAAUGCGAGAGGUGAAAUUCUUGGACCGUUGUAAGACAUACUAUCGCGAAAGCAUUCGUCAAGAAUGUUUUCAUUAAUCAAGAACGAAAGUUAGAGUUUAGAAGGAGAUCAGAUACCUCCCUAUUUCUAACCGUAAACUAUGUAAACCGGUUGUCCGUCGUUAAUUUUUUACGAUGGACGUGCAGCCCCGGGGAAACCAGAGUGAUAUUCCUGGGAAAGUCUAAUCGCAAGUUCGAAAUUUGAAGGAAUUGACGGAAAGGCACCACAAGGAAUGGAGCAUGCGGCUUAAUUUGACUCAACACGGGAAAACUUACCAGGCCCAGAAACAUUUAGGAUUGACAGAAUGAUAGCUCUUUCGUGAUUAUGUGGAUGGUGGUGCAUGGCCGUUCUUAGUUGGUGGAGUGAUCUGUCUGGUUAAUUCCGAUAACGAACGAGAUUCUUAUUUACUAAAUAGAAGGUAGAUCUUAUUCUCCUAGGUUUUGUGAAUGCCUGUCGGGGGUAGUCUAUCUAUCUUCUUAGAAAAAUCAAUGGUGCAAUAAUCAGUUGAAAGAGAGAGCAAUAACAGGUCUGUGAUGCCCUUAGAUGUUCUGGGCUGCACGCGCGCUACAAUGCACGGUGCAACGCGUCCCUCUCCUUUUUAACGGAGCGGGUAACCGGUUCAAAUCCGAGCUUACUUGGGAUUGGGGCUUGCAAAUAUUUCCCAUGAACGAGGAAUUCCUAGUAAGCGUUGACUCAUUUAAGUCGCGCUGAUUAAGUCCCUGCCUUUUGUACACACCGCCCGUCGCUACUACCGAUUGAAUGAUCCAGUGAGAACAAUGGACUGUCGCUCUAAAGGUUUGGCAUGACGGGAAGCUGUUCGAACUUGAU